Molecule: small nuclear RNA, 20 nt
Filed under: Arabidopsis thaliana (thale cress)
Lineage: Eukaryota; Viridiplantae; Streptophyta; Magnoliopsida; Brassicales; Brassicaceae
Description: snRNA_18419
Source: RNAcentral
CGGAUCCCAUCAGAACUCCG